RNAcentral lists this ribosomal RNA (164 nucleotides) under Exochaenium baumianum. Its description in RNAcentral is "5.8S ribosomal RNA". It matches the Rfam family "5.8S ribosomal RNA". From Rfam's summary of the family: 5.8S ribosomal RNA (5.8S rRNA) is a component of the large subunit of the eukaryotic ribosome. It is transcribed by RNA polymerase I as part of the 45S precursor that also contains 18S and 28S rRNA. Lineage: Eukaryota; Viridiplantae; Streptophyta; Magnoliopsida; Gentianales; Gentianaceae. RNAcentral also lists the same sequence under 4 other names. The record is from RNAcentral.
AAAACGACUCUCGGCAACGGAUAUCUCGGCUCUCGCAUCGAUGAAGAACGUAGCAAACUGCGAUACUUGGUGUGAAUUGCAGAAUCCCGUGAACCAUCGAGUCUUUGAACGCAAGUUGCGCCCGAAGCCAUCCGGCCGAGGGCACGUCUGCCUGGGCGUCACGC